UCAACUCAUCAUUUCCCCCGAUCCUCAGCCCGGCGUCCACCAGCAGAGCCGCGACACCGCUGUGCUGGGCCGCGGCCCGGUACAGCGCCUCCGCCUCCCGAUCCGCCAGAUCGGGGACGAUCGAGCGCUGCCGCUUGAUUAUCCCCCUCAUCGAGUCCAGAUCCCCGCCGGAAACGGCGUGGGAGAGGAGGAAUUUCCCGACGAAGUAGACCUUCAGCUUCGCGUCGUAGAUCUGGAUCGGGACUGAGUCGACUCGGUCGAACCAGCGGUUGGCGAGUUGGGGGUGAGUCGACUCGGGAGAGUCGAGGGGGAGGUCCGGGGCGGGGGAAAUUUUGAGGAGGAAGCGGUCGGAGGGGGAGCGGGGGAAGGAGGGGGGUGGGUGGGGCUGGGGUUUGAGGACGAUUUGGAAGGAGGCGGAGGAGAGAGGGGGGACGAGGCCGGUUGGGGGAUUGACGAGGAAUUUGUGGGGGGAGGAGGUUUGGAGCUUGAAGGCUAAGGGGGCGGAGGGGAGGAGGGAUUUAAGGCGGAUUGUGGUGCGGCAUUUGGUGUUUGGGGAGAAGUCGAUGAGGAUUUCUUGGUCAGAGAGCUGGACGAGUUUCUCCAUUGAAGAAGAAGAAGAUGAAUUCUCAUUUUUUUUUUGUUGCAGAGAGCAAGUGUGUAUACUUCCAAUUAGAUUGAUUUGUUAGGCUAAUUUGAAUUUUGUGGUUAAGAUUUUGGCUUAGUUGUUUGUAGUAGCAUGUGUUUUGAUGAAAAUGGAUUAAAAAGUUUUUUUAAAAAAUUGUGUUUCGGCUUGGGAAUUUUACAAUUGAUGUUUUUAUCUUCGUUACUUUAUUUUGUUUUUCGAUCUUUCUUUACUAGUAAAAUGAAAAGUGUUUAGGAGUAGUAGUUAAUUACUUGGAGAUAUUACGAAAACUUUAUUUUGGUUUUUGAUUUUUUUUAUUUGUAAAAUUAAAAUAGAUGAUAUUUAACAUGUAACAUAAAAAAAUUUAGGCUAUCUUACAUGAAAUAUAGGUUUAAUAACUACGUGAAGUGGUUUUAAUAGUGAUGUCAAGAGAUAGCCAUCCGUAUAAUGAUAAAGAAUUUAUGAAUAAUCAAGAAGAGAUGUGUUGUUAUGGUCGUUACGUUAUUAAUAUCAAGAAAGAUAGAUUUACAAAAUUAUGAUAAAUUUGGCCUCGAAAUAGUAAUCUUAAUUCAUCAUAAAUUAUAUGAUUGCAUAAAAAUUGUAUUCUAAAAAAAGAGAGACUUAUGUGAGCGAGCACUCACAUGGGCACAUAACAUCUUACUCUAAAUCCGACCCGAGUAGGAGACGGCAGUGAGGGUGGAGAAGUUUCGGGAGAGGAGAAGAUGGACCCAAAAUAUUUUUUCUAUCCCAUUAAAAAUGAAAUAUAUAUAUAUUUUUAAUUAUUAACUAAAAUAACAUAUUUUCUAAAAUAAAAAUAAUAUUAAUAUUAUCUUUACUUUAUCCUUCCCUUAUUUUAUUUUCUCUUUAGUUAAAUCACGAAAUAGCACUGCAUAAAGUGGGAUAAGCUAAUUCUAAGGGCCUGUUCACUCUCAUGGUUUUUUUAAUGGCCGUGAGAUAAAUAUGUGGCUGAAUUAGGUGGUGGGCUCCACCUGAACAGAAUUUAGUAUGCAUGUUCAGUGAACAUGAAAUGGUGACUAGUUUAAAAACUAUUGCCUCUUUCAACAUGUCAUUUUACCAAAUAGCCCUCACCAUAUCUUCAACAUUCCCUGAUCAACACUUCUGAAAAACUUAGCAGCGGGAAACGAAAAUGUCAAAUUUGAGUCCAAUCCCACCCAAUUAUUUUGGGUAAAAAGGCUGGAUGGAAGCAAAAAUAAACGAGAGUCUUUACUUCUACAAAACCUCAUUGAGCGGCGAAAGGUACGACGAAAUCUCCCAAUCAUCUGAGGUGCUAGCAAAAGGUGCGAGCGGGCACCUCCCCGUGCGGAGAGGCGUUCUUGAAUCUGAGUUUCUAUUACGGUACUAUGUCUACUUCAAUCGGUGCAGGUGUGACUAUUAGAGGAGGCACAAGUGAAGGUUUUUUUUUAUUCAAAGAAUAUUUGCUGUUUGAUGAGCUUUGUGUGUGUCAUCCAUGCUGUAAUGAAAUUUUGUUUGUAUGUCCUUUUCUUCGUCAAGACAACAAUGUAUCAGGUCGAAAAAAAUUCCGCAAGGGCGACCGAUCUCGCAGGAUUUGGAUUGCACGCGAAGAAGAAAUUCUGGCUGCAUCGUUGGUAGAACUUGUGGCCCGUGGGUGGAAAUCAGAUUUGUGCAUCACCAUACAAUUCAUGCCUUCAUUUAUGAAGGUGUGGCCACCGCCCUAGUGGUGAGUUGGAACCGUUGGAGCUUGCGUUCGAUGCCCGGUCAAAUUUCUUCACAUUAGACUCAUUCAUUGGAUGAUCCUUAGGUAGUACCCGGCCACUCUCUAGUCUCGUACGUAGCUUUCCAUCCGGCCCAACGUCAAUGAAAUAUAUGCCCGGCUCAGUUGUUGACUCCCUGUCCGAGGGUCCGUCUAAGUCGAGCUCAACUUCUACAGGAUCCACUUCCAUCUCCCGUCGGAUGAAGUUAUGUAGUAAGAAGCAAGCCAUUAUAAGGCGUAUCUGUGUUUUUAUUGGGUAAAAGGAUGCACUUCGUAGGAUACCCCAUCGCAUUUUUAACACUGCAAACG
Long non-coding RNA from Salvia splendens (bonfire salvia), 2663 nucleotides. RefSeq lists it as uncharacterized. The transcript is spliced from 2 exons. Lineage: Eukaryota; Viridiplantae; Streptophyta; Magnoliopsida; Lamiales; Lamiaceae. The record is from RefSeq and is a predicted model, not a curated record.